CGCCACACUCCAGGCGCAGGCCGCAAGGGGCGGGCCCGACCCGGCGCCGCUCUCCCGGGCGCAGGCGCCGGCGUGAGGUCGAGGCUGUGCCGGCCGGGCUCGGCGGCUCCAUGCGCUGCCAGGUCACGGUGCUGUACUUUGCCAGGAGCGCUGAGCUGGCGGGGCUGCGCUCCGAGAGCGUUUCUGUGCCGCAGCGGAUCACCUCCCUGCAGCUCUGGGAAGAAAUUGUUAAGAUUCAUCCAAGGCUUGCUGUCAUCCGGGAUCAAGUGAUUUUUGCUGUUCAGCAGGAGUACGUGUUUCUUGGAGAUCAGCUCCUGGUCCUGCAGACAGGAGACGAGGUUGCCAUCAUCCCACCAAUUAGUGGAGGCUGAAUUUAUGCAACUUCUGUUAGAUCCAGAGAUAUGAUGUACAGUUCUCCCCAUCUGCCUCUGAUAUUCUUUGGAAAAAGCAUAACUUGUAUUUCUUGCUGGAGAGAAUCAUUGUGCUGACCAGAAACUAUAAGCUCUUCUAGUCAGCCAUGGAUGAAAGCGAAGAUGUGCCAAAAGAUUUUAUCAAGCUCAAGCCUGAAAAACUGUCUGUAGAUGAAGUAUCAGAGCUGGUCAUUUCACCAAACUGUGGGGCAGUGUCUCUGUUCAUUGAGUGGUUCCAAUAACUGAAGCAAGUGUAAUUAUUGCAGUGUCAUCUCCACACAGAACAGAAUCCCUUGAGGCUGUAACGUACUGCAUCAACACCUUAAAAGCAUUCGUCCCAAUAUGGAAAAAGGAGAUUUAUGAGGACGAAUAUUCUUGGAAAGAAAACAAGGAAUGCUUUUGGGCAAAUUCAGAAAAAUAACUGUACUCUUUCAUAAAUAAAGUGUUACUGCUCCUGAUGAACGUA
This is an RNA transcript of Cygnus atratus (black swan), 876 nucleotides long. It is a transcript of the gene named molybdopterin synthase sulfur carrier subunit-like, with no coding region annotated. The record is from RefSeq and is a predicted model, not a curated record. The transcript is spliced from 7 exons. Lineage: Eukaryota; Metazoa; Chordata; Aves; Anseriformes; Anatidae.